AAUAGAUACCCUGGUAGUCCACGCCGUAAACGAUGAGUGCUAAGUGUUAGGGGGUUUCCACCCCUUAGUGCUGCAGCUAACGCAUUAAGCACUCCGCCUGGGGAGUACGGUCGCAAGACUGAAACUCAAAGGAAUUGACGGGGGCCCGCACAAGCGGUGGAGCAUGUGGUUUAAUUCGAAGCAACGCGAAGAACCUUACCAGGUCUUGACAUCCCGAUGACCGCUCUAGAGAUAGAGCUUUCCCUUCGGGGACAGCGGUGACAGGUGGUGCAUGGUUGUCGUCAGCUCGUGUCGUGAGAUGUUGGGUUAAGUCCCGCAACGAGCGCAACCCUUGUUCUUAGUUGCCAUCAUUCAGUUGGGCACUCUAAGGAGACUGCCGCAGACAAUGCGGAGGAAGGUGGGGAUGACGUCAAAUCAUCAUGCCCCUUAUGACCUGGGCUACACACGUGCUACAAUGGACGGUACAAACGGUUGCGAAGUCGCGAGACGGAGCUAAUCCGAGAAAACCGUUCUCAGUUCGGAUUGCAGGC
RNAcentral lists this ribosomal RNA (530 nucleotides) under uncultured bacterium. RNAcentral describes it as "bacterial SSU rRNA". It matches the Rfam family "Bacterial small subunit ribosomal RNA", at positions 777 to 1305 of the family's 1533-position model. The record is from RNAcentral.